This 462-nucleotide ribosomal RNA is filed under the name uncultured bacterium. Its description in RNAcentral is "partial 16S ribosomal RNA". It matches the Rfam family "Bacterial small subunit ribosomal RNA", at positions 28 to 507 of the family's 1533-position model. The record is from RNAcentral.
GACGAACGCUGGCGGCGUGCUUAACACAUGCAAGUCGAACGGAAAGGCCCUUGGUGGUACUCGAGUGGCGAACGGGUGAGGAACACGUGGGUGUUCUGCCCUGCACUUUGGGAUAAGCCUGGGAAACUGGGUCUAAUACCGAAUAGGACCACGCGCUUCAUGGUGUGUGGUGGCAAGCUUUUGCAGUGUGGGAUGGGCCUGCGCCCUAUCAUGUUGUUUGUGGGGUAAUGGCCUACCAAGGCGACGACGGGUAGCCGGCCUGAGAGCGUGACCGGCCACACUAAUACUGAGAUACGCCCCAGACUCGUACCGGACACAGCAGUGAGGAAUAUUGCACAAUGGUCGCAAGCCUGAUGCAGCGACUCCACGUGAGGGAUGACGGCCUUCGGGUUGUAAACCUCUUUCAAUAGGGACGAAGCGCAAGUAACGGUACCUAUAAAAGAAGCACCGGCCAACUACGUG